RNAcentral lists this ribosomal RNA (495 nucleotides) under uncultured bacterium. Its description in RNAcentral is "partial 16S ribosomal RNA". It matches the Rfam family "Bacterial small subunit ribosomal RNA", at positions 28 to 507 of the family's 1533-position model. The record is from RNAcentral.
GACGAACGCUGGCGGCGUGCCUAAUACAUGCGAGUAGAACGCUGAAGGAGGAGCUUGCUUCUCUGGAUGAGUUGCGAACGGGUGAGUAACACGUAGGUAACCUGCCUGGUAGCGGGGGAUAACUAUUGGAAACGAUAGCUAAUACCGCAUAAGAGUAGAUGUUGCAUGACAUUUGCUUAAAAGGUGCAAUUGCAUCACUACCAGAUGGACCUGCGUUGUAUUAGCUAGUUGGUGGGGUAACGGCUCACCAAGGCGACGAUACAUAGCCGACCUGAGAGGGGGGUCGGCCACACUGGGACUGAGACACGGCCCAGACUCCUACGGGAGGCAGCAGUAGGGAAUCUUCGGCAAUGGACGGAAGUCUGACCGAGCAACGCCGCGGGAGUGAAGAAGGUUUUCGGAUCGUAAAGCUCUGUUGUAAGAGAAGAACGAGUGUGAGAGUGGAAAGUUCACACUGUGACGGCAUCUUAACAGAAAGGGACGGCUAACUACGUG